GACAAUGCCAUUUAAAAUUCUUUAUUUGAGACAAAAUGGACAAGAAAAUAAGGGUUUUAUUCAAAGCCACAAAGGGAAGCAGCAUGUGAUUCCCAGUACUAUACUCACAACAAAUUUUCCCUCUAGAAAGGAACCAACUGAAUUCUUUAUGUUUUUUAUAUUGGUAGAAAUGCAGUAGAAAAUGGAAAUUAAAAUAAGUGAGGGAAAUACACACAAUAGUAUCUUAAAAUUAGUAUACAAAAUUAUAAAACCGGAACACAAUCAGUUUUAGACAUGCAUGAUUUUCUUUCAAACAGUAAUAUUCUCAUGUAAAAUUACUGAAUAAUAAAGUAUUCAUGUGUGAACAGUCAUUUUCAUUUUCUAGUAUCUUGCACAAGUAUAACUAUACAUUUUAAAAAUCUAUAUUGAAGUGUACAAUCUAGGAUGUUCACUAAUACAAAGGUGUUAAACUCACAUCAUAAAAUGUCAUGUAAUAAAACAUUCUUCACAAUAUUUGUUCUAAAAAGUGGUUAAAGCCCAUGUCCAAAUAUCUAUAUAGAGAGCUCUUAACUGAGUUAACUUUAGAAAAUAAAGAGCAGAAAUAUAAAUAUACUGUGUGUUUUAUAAUUAAUAUUAAACUUGAUGCUGUUUCAUAUUUUGAUAAGAAUACCAGUAUGCUAAAGUGCAUAAGAGAAUGAACAAUUUUUACUUAAAAAAAAUUAAGGUAGCCAUCUCAAUCACACUUGCUUCAAAGGUACAAGAAUACCAGCAGAAGUUUCUUUAAGAUCAUGUGAAUGGUUCUCAGGACAUUUCUGUGUCCUCUGGCACCUGAAGACAUUGCCUGAAUUUCAUCAAAUGUUUCUUGAUUUCAAUUUUCCUUUGGUAAUUCAUCUCUUAGUUACAAUAUAACUUCUUUGACUACUUGUUUGUGUUUCUAGAUGCAGAAUUAUUUUGUCAGGGAAAAGUAAGUUGAUGUGUAACUUGCAGAAACUUCCAGAAGACUCUGAUCAAUAAUACUAUUUGAAGUUCUUCCCGAUGAUGUCAAUGGUAAAGCUCUGAAUCAGGAGGCAAAAGCAAGCCUUGGAAAGCUAUCUUAUUUUUCAAAAUGUCAGUAAGGUAAGCCUAGUAUAUUUCAGGUGCCAGUCCUACAAAUUUACAUGAGGGGAAACAUGUAAACAAAUUUUAAAAUGUGUAAUAGGUGCUACAUUAGAAUGCUGUACCUAGUACAAUUGAGGAACAAGGAAGAAUCUGACCAAUUCUACCCAUCGUGUCAAUAAUGAUUCCAUAAAGAAGGUUAACAUCAGGGCUCAACAGUGUCUUCAAAAUUAGUAGGUAUCCCCCAAGUGUAUGUUGUGGAAUGGAGUGGGCUGAGUAAAAACAGCAUGAACAAAGGUAAAAAGGCUUAAGUAGCACAACAUGUUAGUGGAAUUAAAGUAGUUUAGUAUGAUUUUCAUUGAAUGGGGGGCUGAGAUGGGCAUGAUAUGAAAGAAACAAUAGAAAGGCAGGAUAAAGUCGUUACAAAAAACAUUUCUCUCAUGCUAUGGAGUUUGGAUUUCUUCCUAUAGGCGAUGAAGAACCACUGAGAAGGAGUGAUUGACAUGAUCUUCCUGAGAAAUAAUUCUGACAGUUAUAUGGAAGAAACAGCAAAACUGAAGGUGUUACAAUUGUUAGGCUGUUACAGUGAUCCAGAAGAGAGCUAAGGAGGCAGUCCGAAGAGAGGCCAUACCAAAGAGGAUAGAGAGGAUAGCAGAGAUGUUAAGAAAGUAUAUGGCUCAGGGCAUGAUUGCUUAUUCAAUGUGAGAGAUGCAAAAUGGGAGGUGUAAAAAAGAUGAUCUCAAGUUUCUGGUUUGAUUACUGGAUUGUUUAUGGCUUCAUUCACCAAAACUUGAAUUGCUGGAGAAAGAAAAGAUUUGGAGAUGAGUAUAAUAUGUUUCCUUUUGGAUAUGUUGAUUCUGAGUGCCUUAUGGGAUAUUUAGAUAGAGAACUCAUUUAAUGAGUGUACAAAACAAACAAACAAACAGCAAGUAUACCAUAAGCAACAAUUAGAGAGGCAUAAGAAAACAGAUAGGACCACCAAAGAAGUAAACAGAGUUUCACAUAAUGGGCAACAAUGUUCUGUUCUGCAGGGAAGGUAAUUAAGAUGAAGACUGAAGAAAGUCUUUUUGGUUAAUUUGAUUUGGAUUGGGCAAUUUGAUCAACAGUUUCAUUAUGACUUCCAACAAUAAAUAGUUACUGGAGGUUUUAAUGAGGUAGAUUUAAGAGUGAAUAGGAGAGGACUUCGCGGUAGUAAAAUGAAAUGGCAGCUACCUACAUCCGUCAUAAACAAUACAGAACAACAAGAAGAACAAAUAAAUCUACACAAAAUACACCCUAAGCCUAACAAGAAAAAUAAUAUAGCCAAAUGUCAAAUAAUUGUAAGUAAAAAAAUUAAAAGCACCAAAUCCAAGUGAGUGAUCUUUCACAUUUCUACCAUAAGCCUUUGUAGCAAGCAAGGGCAGUCCAAAGAAGAACAUACACAAUAAAGAAAAACGGAUCUAGUGGCAGGCCUAAAAUUAGUCUAAAAUCAUAAGCAGAGAUAUAAAUUCUAUCCUAGGUGCAAAAAUAUAAAGUAUCUCAGUAUCACAACACUUACUACAGGAUAGCUUCAGGCAGUGGAGAAAGGCAAAAAGAAUAGGCAAGUUGCCUUUUGGCAACUGGAUGGUGAAGGGGAAAAGAAGCAACAGGAGAAAUUCAGGGUCCUGUAAGACAAAAACAAAACAAAAAGAACUGGAACACACAUAAUCCCUCCCUCUAUUACGAAGUUAAAAAAAAACACCCACUAAAGAAACUGUACUUUUCUAUGCUGACGGAGAGAGUGCUUGUGAACUAGCAAUCUUACAACCCCUCAAAUUCAAAUAAACGAAUGGAAGGAAAUGGAAUAAAUCUAUAUCAUGGUAGUAUGAGAAAUCAGCAAACAAUAAUUAACAUGCAUUGGCUGAUGAAAAUUCUCUACCAAUAGCAACCAUUAAAGCAGAAGAAAAUUGUAACACAACAUAUCAAACUGAAUAAAAUCCUCAAAUAAGCAUUUGGGGAUAUGAAAAAGCACCGUGAAUUGGAAAUUCAAAAUAUGAAAAACAGAAAUAGAUAAAAAAAAAAAAGGACUAAAUUGAAAGAUUAUUGAAUUCAAGAAAGAAAUGGAAGGGGGGAAUUAUAAAUGAAGACUAAAUUACAAGGUGCCCAAAGGAAAAGAGACUAAUGAAAACUUAGGCACUGGAUAGAUGCAAAAUAAAUAAAUAUGAUACAGAAAAAAAGAAAAAAGGGUCAGAAAGAGAGUGAAAGUUGAACAAAAGAUAAAUAACUCACGUAUAACUGGAGUCCCUGAAGAAGAAAUAAAAAUCAAUGGAACAGAACUAAUAUUUAAAAUUAUAAUCCAUGAAAAAUUAUCAGAAAUAAAAAGGAUCUGAAUCUACAUUUUGAAAUGGAUUUCCAGUUAACUGGAAAAGUAAACUUUGAAUGUUAACUCCAAGACAUAUCUCAGUAAAACUAUUUAAACUUGAAAAAAAUAUUUUAAUCCUUGAGGAUUCAGGGAUAUGUGACCAAAUAAUUUACAAGCGCAAAAUAAUUAAACUGAUAUCAGAUUUCUCAAAAAAUCUAUGCAAAGGAAGACAACAAAUUUUCAAAAAACUGAAAGUGUGAACCAAGAUUUUAUAUUCAGUCAAGUUGCCCUUCAGUACACAACACUAUAAUAGAAAAACAGCUUCAAACAUAUAAUUUAGAUAAUUAUGUACCCAUGAACCAUUCAUGAAGAUCUACUAAUGAAUGAGCUUCACUCAACAAGAGAUGACUGAAAAACUUCAGCAAAAUAAAAUUAUGAUAUUUACUAUAUUUAAUAGUAGCUUUCAGACUAAACCAACAGUAGGAACGAGAGUGCAAAACCAAUACACAAACAUUAUAUGUUGCAAUCAGGUAGAAAUAAAGCAACGAAAAAAUGGGAGCAGAAGUUACAUUAAAAUAAUUGAUUGCUGUAUAGACAAUAAGCGUUAAUUAAGGGCACUAAAACCUGACAAACUAGAUAGUAAAUAUUAAUAAGAAAAUGGAGAAUAAAGUAUAAAUACAAAGGUAACCACUAGAAUAAAAAUUCUUAAGUAUCAGCAAAAAAUUUUCAUAAAACUACAAAUAGUAUACAUUGCACAGAAAAUAAACAAAGCAAAUAUAAUAAUAAAAUUUUACAUCAGGCUUCAAACCAAACAUUCAGUCAUAUGAAUGAUGAGUGGGCUUGACUCACCUAUUUAGCUUAUUUCAACUUGGCUUACAAAGCUAGAACCAGCAGUAUACUGUAUACAAGAAACAGAGUGAUGUAAGAAGACUAAAAAUAACGGAUGGACAACGAAAUAUAGGGGAAAUGAAAACAGUAAGAAAAUAGGGGAGGUGAUCAUGAUAUUAGGCAAAGUAGAAUCCAAGCCAAAAAAAUAUAAAUAUGACCCCAAAUCUCCUUUUUUUUUUUUUUUUUUUUUUU
This is a long non-coding RNA of Macaca fascicularis (crab-eating macaque), 4474 nucleotides long. The record is from Ensembl. NCBI's taxonomy places the organism in Eukaryota, Metazoa, Chordata, Mammalia, Primates, Cercopithecidae.